RNAcentral lists this ribosomal RNA (425 nucleotides) under uncultured bacterium. RNAcentral's name for it is "bacterial SSU rRNA". It matches the Rfam family "Bacterial small subunit ribosomal RNA", at positions 354 to 796 of the family's 1533-position model. The record is from RNAcentral.
GUGGGGAAUAUUGGACAAUGGGCGCAAGCCUGAUCCAGCCAUGCCGCGUGAGUGAUGAAGGCCUUAGGGUUGUAAAGCUCUUUUGUCCGGGAAGAUAAUGACUGUACCGGAAGAAUAAGCCCCGGCUAACUUCGUGCCAGCAGCCGCGGUAAUACGAAGGGGGCUAGCGUUGUUCGGAAUCACUGGGCGUAAAGCGCACGUAGGCGGACCAUUAAGUCAGGGGUGAAAGCCUGGAGCUCAACUCCAGAACUGCCUUUGAUACUGAUGGUCUCGAGUUCGGAAGAGGUUGGUGGAACUGCGAGUGUAGAGGUGAAAUUCGUAGAUAUUCGCAAGAACACCAGUGGCGAAGGCGGCCAACUGGUCCGAUACUGACGCUGAGGUGCGAAAGCGUGGGGAGCAAACAGGAUUAGAUACCAUGGUAGUCC